Molecule: ribosomal RNA, 757 nt
Filed under: uncultured bacterium
Lineage: Bacteria
Description: bacterial SSU rRNA
Rfam family: Bacterial small subunit ribosomal RNA
Source: RNAcentral
AGAGUUUGAUCAUGGCUCAGGAUAAACGCUGGCGGCGUGCCUAACACAUGCAAGUCGCACGUCCUUUCCUUUCGGGGAGAGGGAGUGGCGGACGGGUGAGUAACACGUGGGUGACCUACCUUUGAGUGAGGAAUACCGGCGAGAAAUCGCUGACAAUUCCGCAUACGCUUGCUUUAGCAAGCAAAGCCGAAAGGCGCUCGAAGAUGAGCCCGCGUCCGAUUAGCUCGCUGGUGGGGUAAUGGCCUACCAGGGCAACAAUCGGUAGCUGGUCUGAGAGGACUAUCAGCCACACUGGGAUUGAGAACGGCCCAGACUCCUACGGGAGGCAGCAGUGAGGAAUUUUCCGCAAUGGACGCAAGUCUGACGGAGCAACGCCGCGUGCAGGAUGAAGGUCUGCGGAUCGUAAACUGCUUUUACCAGGGAAGAGAAUGGACGGUACCUGGUGAAUAAGCCCCGGCUAACUACGUGCCAGCAGCCGCGGUAAUACGUAGGGGGCGAGCGUUGUCCGGAUUUAUUGGGCGUAAAGAGCAUGCAGGCGGCCCUGCAAGUGGAAGGUUACAAUUCCUGGCUUAACCGGGAAAGCGCCUUCCAAACUACAUGGCUUGAGAGCGAGAGAGGGACAUGGAACUCCGAGUGAAGCAGUGAAAUGCGUAGAUAUUCGGAGGAACACCGGUGGCGAAGGCGGCUUCCUGGACCGACACUGACGCUGAGGCGCGAAAGCUAGGGGAGCAAACGGGAUUAGAUACCCCAGUAGUCC